Molecule: ribosomal RNA, 276 nt
Filed under: uncultured prokaryote
Description: partial 16S ribosomal RNA
Rfam family: Bacterial small subunit ribosomal RNA
Source: RNAcentral
UACGAAGGGGGCUAGCGUUGCUCGGAAUUACUGGGCGUAAAGGGUGCGUAGGUGGUUUCUUAAGUCAGAGGUGAAAGGCUACGGCUCAACCGUAGUAAGCCUUUGAAACUGAGAAACUUGAGUGCAGGAGAGGAGAGUAGAAUUCCUAGUGUAGCGGUGAAAUGCGUAGAUAUUAGGAGGAAUACCAGUUGCGAAGGCGGCUCUCUGGACUGUAACUGACACUGAGGCACGAAAGCGUGGGGAGCAAACAGGAUUAGAUACCCGCGUAGUCCCUGA